This is a long non-coding RNA of Lotus japonicus, 567 nucleotides long. RefSeq lists it as uncharacterized. The record is from RefSeq and is a predicted model, not a curated record. Lineage: Eukaryota; Viridiplantae; Streptophyta; Magnoliopsida; Fabales; Fabaceae. The transcript has 3 exons.
ACUUAUUUACAUAUCACUUCCCCCUUCUUGAGUGACGUCAACUCAAAGAGUGGAAAGAAGACGAUACAGUUUUUUGAUUUCCAAGCAAGUAAUUUAGUGGACAUGUUUCCAUUAUAUGAUUAGGAAUUGUUCAGGGUCCCACUAUUCCAAGUGGCAUUUCAAUAGCUAUUAUUCCCCCUAAUCCACGUGGCAGAUCUUCAACAUUUCUUCUUUCAAUCUCUCAUUCACUUAAACUACGUCGUUUCUACUCUCAACUACUUUCCCUUUCUAUGCGUUACUCACUAUGUAUUCUCUCUCCCUAAACCCUCACACCGUUCAACUCCUUUCUUCCCUCACCGAUGUCGUUCCUGCGUUCCGCGAUCGACCUCCUCUCAGGCUGUGCCGCGACCUCUCCGACGUCGUUCCGCUGUUUCUUCCCUACUCGAAGCCGUUUUCCAUCUUUCUCAGGCAAGGUACUGAUAAAUUGUAGAAAUAACAACAAGCUUUUUCACCGUGAUGCUUGCUUCAAUUUUAGUCUUCACACCAAUGCACUGCUGGAUUCAAGUGUCACUUUUUUGGACAAUUUAC